Long non-coding RNA from Sphaerodactylus townsendi, 517 nucleotides. RefSeq lists it as uncharacterized. The record is from RefSeq and is a predicted model, not a curated record. NCBI's taxonomy places the organism in Eukaryota, Metazoa, Chordata, Lepidosauria, Squamata, Sphaerodactylidae. The transcript has 3 exons.
AGAUUCUUCCUGGCUUGUUCCUUGGAAAUUUUAAAGAUGCUCGUGACUCUGAACAACUUAAACGGAAUGAUAUUACACACAUUCUUUCAAUCCAUGACAGUGCUAGGCCUAUGCUUGAGGGAGUGAAGUAUCUGUGUAUCCCUGCUGCCGAUUCACCCUCACAGAAUUUGUAAGUAUUUUUUUUACAGAAUAUGUUGAUUGUUUUGCUUAAUUGCUCCAGCAAGCUUUAUUGCUUUUUUGUGAAGAAAGCAGAGCCAAAAAGCCGUGUUGUUGGCUGUGAAUUUCUGUGCAUGAAAUGUUGGAUUCUUUCUCUACCAUAAAGUUAACAGUGGAGCACUAAAAUAAAACAGAGGUCAGGUGGCAUACUUAACAAAAUUUGUUCCAGUAUUAGCUUCCAUGAAUAAAAGCUUCCUGCAUCAAAGACGUCAGGUGCUCAUGCAUUGAGGCCUUUUUACGUAAACAGCAGAAAAGGGUGAGGUGUCUAUUUACCCUCUAUUUGCCCUCUAGCGCAGCCGAU